Molecule: ribosomal RNA, 800 nt
Filed under: Elphidium sp.
Lineage: Eukaryota; Foraminifera; Rotaliida; Elphidiidae
Description: partial small subunit ribosomal RNA
Source: RNAcentral
GGAGCAUGUGGCUUAAUUUGACUCAACGCGGGAAAUCUUACCGGGUCCGGACACACUGAGGAUUGACAGAUUAAAGCGCUGGAGUUUUAUUGAUUCUUUUACCUUACUGCUCUUUAAUACUUUUUUGAUAGGGGGUGCAUGGCCGUUCUUAGUCCUUCUAAUGAUCUGUAUACUUAUUUGUGCUUCCCAUCAUUUCACGUACUUACUUAUCUCUUUUUUACCGCUUUAUUACUUUAUAUGUAUUCAAUUUAUUGUAUCAUGUCGCCUAGGGUCUGCAACGAAAGUGACUGUACUUACCUAUUACUCCUGGGAACCCGUCCCACACCUUACUUUGAAAGACCUUUGCAUUUUCUCACGGUUUAUGAAGGAUACGGCAAUAACCGCGGUUUAUGAAAGUUAUCCCCAGCGGACGAUUUAACUGCCUUAACCAGUUUACCAAAGCGGCAUUCCUUUGCGUAAACGUCAAUAGGUCCUUUUUCUCCUCCCAGGCAACCUGACCCACUUCUAUUACUAUAACUCACGGGGGCGUGUAAAGAGGAAUAAAUUGGAUAAUGCUGUAUGGCGGCACACAUGGUUACACGAUAAUCCACAAAUAAUACAGGGCAUUCGCACGGGUCAAACCCCUUUGAAGCACCUGUUAAUUAUAGUAAUUUACCUUUAGGGGGUAAACAAUAUUAAUAUUUCCUCCCCCUUUUACACGAAUCCAUCCAAAAUCCCCCCCCAAAAACGCAGUGUGCCCCCCCGUUCCGCGCGGGGUGGUCCCCUCCCCCCUUUAAAAGUUACCCCCACAAAAUAAAAUG